UGCAGCUGGCGCCCUCUGAAUUAAAAGGAGCCGUGGUGACCGUCAGCGGUGCGGCUGCCAACAGCACCACUCUUAUUUAUUCAACAUUUUCACCACACGCUCUACUGAGAGCGUUCUCCGAUUAUUGCCACGAAAGAACUUUCAAGAAAAAUUAACUCUGCAAAUAUCCUUGGGGCAAGACGAAGACAAACACCACUGGAGCCGGGAAAGGAGAAAGGAGGCAGAGCCUGUACAAGAGCCAUGGGAAAGCUGGGAGCUAUGGAUAACAGAACCUGCAGUUCCCAAGCAGCACCCGCAGAAAUGCUGAGAAGACUUCCGUGGGGGCCUAUUGUCAAUUAUCAGGGAGAAGAGAAGUGUGUAGACGUUAGAAACAAGGACUGUGCGAGCUUCAUGUGCAGAGUCUGUUCGUGCUGAAGAUGCAGGAGGGCUGGAAACGGCUCCUUGGGAUCCAGCACCAGGGCUGUGGGCUCAGAGAAACGUGACUGAGCUGUGAUCUGCUCUCCCAUGCCCCGGUCAGACACACUUGAGGAACCUUGAAGGUGAUAAGGUUCUCAAGAGGAAUGAUCCCAUCUUCAGGACAACCCUCCCAGAAGCUGUACGUCUAAGCGGCAGUCCUCCCCUUCCUCAUCACCUCUAGGAUGCAGGAGUGUGCCUACGUAAGUGCAAUCUGUCUUCUGUACCUCUGGGAAUGGAAAAUGGACAGGGAUGUCCUUGCUCCCUCUGCCAGGUCACCUCUCUCCAUCAUCUCUCACAGGGUCC
This is a long non-coding RNA of Oryctolagus cuniculus (rabbit), 759 nucleotides long. RefSeq lists it as uncharacterized. Lineage: Eukaryota; Metazoa; Chordata; Mammalia; Lagomorpha; Leporidae. The record is from RefSeq and is a predicted model, not a curated record.